This 111-nucleotide ribosomal RNA is filed under the name uncultured bacterium. RNAcentral describes it as "partial 16S ribosomal RNA". It matches the Rfam family "Bacterial small subunit ribosomal RNA", at positions 1365 to 1482 of the family's 1533-position model. The record is from RNAcentral.
AAUACGUUCCCGGGCCUUGUACACACCGCCCGUCAAGCCAUGGAAGUUUGGUAGACCUGAAGCCGGUGCUCGUCACGGAAGCCGGUUAGGGUAGAACAGGUAACUAGGGCU